Molecule: long non-coding RNA, 10277 nt
Filed under: Gossypium barbadense (sea-island cotton)
Lineage: Eukaryota; Viridiplantae; Streptophyta; Magnoliopsida; Malvales; Malvaceae
Description: long non-coding RNA (GBAR_LNC016476)
Source: RNAcentral
AGGCUUUGGGGCUAAAGAGGUGACCUGUAGAGGCCUCUUAAAGUCGGCACAGUGGAAGAAUUGGAAUUGGGUAUCACAAGGUGACCACUUCGAGAGUGGUGCCGUUUUUACACCAUCCGGUAAUCCAAGUGCCAGCAAGCGGUUUGGUGCCGACAAAAUGAUGCCUUUCAAACCCGGUCAAAUGGUCCCCGAACUCAAAAAGUAUGCCGGACCACUCAGCUGCUCAAUCGGCCGUCCUUGCUAAAAACGCUAUUUUUAUAUGCAAGUGUCCUCCCUUUUUUACGUACAAUAUUUGAUACCCAAGCAUAGUACAUUUGGUAUCUUUUCUGAAUGAUUGUCAGUAAAUUUUCUUUUAUGCGAUUCCUCCCUAUUCUCUUCUUCUCUCCUACUAAUAGAUAAUUACAAUUUUUUCACAGGCGUAUCUGUGGAAAUCAUAAAUUUAAAACAUAAAUGUUUGUUUGAAAAUAACAAAUAAUGAAUAAUGAAAUGUGUGGUUUCAAACAAAGUAACAAUAAUAACUAUGAUUAUCAUGCUGGUUUCAUCAGUCUUUAGUUGGUGUAGGCACCAAAUCAAUCAAAUAAAUUAAUUUAAUAUAUGUAGUAUAUAUAUUCUAUUGCAGGGUUUUUUUGGAUUUAUGGAAACCUUCAAUUUUAAGUGAGUUUAGAAUUCGCUAUGUGUCACCAAUCAUUUCAUGAUAGGAAUGGAAAUUAAUGAAAUAAAAUAUUUGGUUAGAACUAAAGUUACGUAAUGAAUCAAAAAUUUUAACAAUCGCGAGACCAUUUAGUUUCUAUAAAUUUUGUAUGUCCCAACUUACAUAUUCGGGUACUUAGUCAUUUGUCAAAACACAUCAAAGUGAGAAAAGAAAGAAACAAGAAUCAUGAGAGUUCCUCAUAUAGUAAUAUUCUUAAUAAUGCAAUCGCAACGGUGAUUCCACCAGGUGUUCUUGCAUUGCAAAGAACUAAAUUGAUUUUUUAGAACAACAUUGAUAAUGGAGACAUCAAGUAUGCAUUUAAGGUGGUGUAUGAGUUAGAUUUCUUUAAGACUCUGCGAGGGUCGAGGAGCCAUCGAAGAUAUUAUUUUUACCAGUAUAAAGUCAAAUAUCUAAGCAAAAAAACUUGCAAAGCCGAGAGGACAUAGGAUUAAUAAUUCGGUAUCUAUGUUUUGAGUUGCUCCUUAGUUGACGCGUCGUAUCAGCUUAGUAAGGCCUGAACAAAUCGUAUAGAUAUUUAUAAUUUAUGGAGGCAAUAAAGUAUGCGUAACAAAAUUGAAAUUCAUAAAAGAAAAUCAACGUUUUGGUACAUUGUUAAAUUUAAGGUUAUACUUGCAUAAUAAUUGAUGUGGGUUCAAAUCCCUUUGAUAACAUAUUUUAUAUUCUUUUAAAACAAUAAGAAUUAAAAUAACCUUCAAUAAUAUAACUUAUAUUAAACAUGUAAGGAAAGUAUUUCUCAUUUCCGUAAUAGAGUCGAUGCUCGAUCGACUCGUGUCACCGAAUUUGUUAAGGACUUCAAUAAAAGCUAGUAUAGAUUGUAACAAUAAUGAAAUAUGCAUUAAAAAUCACCACAGAGGUUCAAUAUCCACUUGAAUCUCUGUACUCUUUUGGACUUUUAAAAUUUGAAUACAUAGUACUUUUAUAUUCCAAGGUCCAAGUAAUAAAUUAGAGUCCAAUUCAUAUCACAUAUUUAGAUUUAAUAGAAAUCAAUAAGCUCUCUUACCAAUUGAACUUUUAUUUUUUAAAUCAGCCAAGUGGAAGGAUUAAAAUCUUGAAAUUGAAAGGAGAGAGGUUUCAUUUGGAAAUGUUGAAGAGUAAAGGGAUUGGAGGAUAAUUAGAGAAUUUUUUUUGUAAUUUUUGAAAUUAGACGUUUAUAAUGGUCUAAAAAUGCAAGAAAACCUCAACUGUGUCUGUCCAAGAAAAAGGAAACAAAAUCCAACCAUUUUUUACGCACUUGAAACACUAGUAGCCAAGUGUGUUUUGUAAAUUUGGUAAUCUCCUGAAUCCCGAUGAACUAUAAAUAGCGACAUAAUGAUAGUGUUCCAAGCAAAUCAAGCUCGAGUUCAAGUUUUUGGUGCCGUAGCUUGUCUCUCCUAUCCCAUUAGGGUCCUGUUGCAUCCAACCAGUUGUUUCCAAGAGCUAGGCUUUGAUACUUAAAAUAAGAACCACUAUGGGUAUUUCUAGUUAUAGUUAUAGUUUCUUUCGGUUUUUAUUUGUUGUCAUAAUCCCAACCCUAGAAGAUCAUAUCACUGAGUAUGAUGAGUACUGGACGGCACGAGAAUUGGAAGCCAUUAAGAACCUGGACAAGGCCUAUCACUCCAACCCGGAGUAGGUGGUCCGCCAUUACAAUGACCACUUCUCUAGGACCAUGCUCGAGUUUUAUAUCACCAAAAGGGUGUUGGCAGAAUCGAAAAAGGGUCCCUGUGAGGUUACCAACCACUUGACAGUUGCUGGCGGUGUGAUCCUGACUGGGAAAAGAAUAGGAAGAAAUUGGCCGACUGUGCCCCUGGAUUUGCUCAAGGUACUACCGGUGGAAAGGAUGGUGAGUUUUACGUGGUCACUGACCGUAUUGAUAAUGCUGCUGACCCCAAGCCUGGAACUCUACAUCAUGCUGUAACCCAAACUGGACCACUUUGGAUCACUUUCAAAGGGUCCAUGACCAUCAAGCUGCAACAGGAGCUCAUUGUUACAAGUGAUAAGACCAUUGAUGCGAGGGGAGCCAAUGUGGAAGUUUGUAAUGGUGCUGGUAUCACUAUCCAAUUUGCGAAGAAUAUCAUUAUCCAUGGCCUUCAAACCCAUCACAUUAUUCCCGCCAAGGGUGGCAAGAUUAAGGAUGGUGAAAACCAACAUGGGUUAUGGGGUGACAGCGACGGAGAUGGGGUAUCUCUUUUCGGAGCAACCAACGUUUGGCUUGACCAUCUUUCCCUUCACCAUUGCACCGAUGGCCUUAUCGAUGUCGUUCAAGGAUCAACUGCCGUUACUGUUUCUAACUGCCACUUCACUGACCACAACGAUGUAAGCUUACUUUCCUUUCAAUUUUAAACUACGCAUGAUGAGGAAUUUUUUGUUUGACAAAAAUAAUACAAUUGAAAUGAAAAAAACUACAUGUGAUGCUGUUUGGAGCAAGCGACUCUUACAGUGCCAAGAAGAAGAUGCAGGUCACUGUUGCUUUGAACCACUUCGGUAAAGGAUUGGUAGGGAGGAUGCCUAAGUGCCGAUUUGGUUUUAUUCAUGUCGUCAACAAUGACUACAAUCACUGGUUCCUGUAUGCCAUUGGCGGCACCAGCAGCCCUACAAUUAUCAGCCAGGGAAAUAGGUAUUCAGCGCCUGGCUUUGGGGCUAAGGAGGUGACCUGUAGGGGCCUCUUAAAGCCGGCACAGUGGAAGAAUUGGAAUUGGGUAUCACAGGGUGACCACUUCGAGAACGGUGCCUUUUUUACACCAUCUGGUAAUCCAAGUGCCAGCAAGAAAUUUGGUGCCAACAAAAUGAUGCCUUUCAAACCCGGUCAAAUGGUCCCCGAACUCACAAAGUAUGCCGGACCACUAAGCUGCACAAUCGGCCGUCCUUGCUAAAAAUGCCAUAUUUAUAUGCAUGUGUCCUUCAUUUUUUACGUACAAUAUUUGAUACCCAAGCAUAGUACAAUUGGAAUCUUUUCUGAAUGAUUGUCAGUAAAUUUUCUUUUAUGCGAUUCCAACCUAUUCUCUUCUUCUCUCCUACUAAUAAAUAAUCACAAUUUUUUUCGCACGCGUAACUGUGGAAAUCAUAAAUUUAGAACAUAAAUGUUUGUUUGAAAAUAACAUAUAAUGAAUAAUGAAAUGUGUGGUUUGAAACAAAGUAACAAUAAUAACAUUGAUUAUCAUGGUGUUUUCAUCAAUCUUUAGUUGGUGUAGGCACCAAUUCAAUCAAAUACAUUAAUCUAACAUAUCUAGUAUAUAUAUUCUAUUGCAAGGUUUUUUUGGAUUUGUGGAAACCUUCAGUUUUAAGUGAGUUUAGAAUUCUCUAUGUGUCACCAAUCAUUUCAUGACAGGAACGGAAAUUAAUGAAAUAAAAUAUUUGGUUAGAACUAAAGUUGCGUAAUUAAUUAAAUAUUUUAACAAUCGCGAGACCAUUUAGUUUCUAUAAAUUUUGUAUGUCCCAACUUACAUAUUCGGGUACUUAGUCAUUUGUCAAAACACAUCAAAGUGAGAAAAGAAAGAAACAAGAAUCAUGAGCGUUCCUCAUAUAGUAAUAUUCGGAAUAAUGCAAUCACAACGGUGAUUCCACCAGGUGUUGUUGCAUCAGCAAGAACUAAAUUGAUUUUUUAGAACAACAUUUAUAAUGGAGACAUCAAGUAUGCAUUUAAGGUGGUGUAUGAGUUAGAUUUCUUUAAGACACUAUGAGGGUCGGGGAGCCAUCGAAGACAUUACUUUUACUAGUAUAAAGUCAAAUAUCGAAGCAAAAAAACUUGCAAAGCUAAGAGGACAUAGGAUUAAUAAUUUGGUAUCUAUGUUUUGAGUUCCUCCUUAGUUGACGCGUGGUAUCAGCUUUGUAAGGGCUUAAAUAAUCUUAUGGAUAUUUAUAAUUGAUGGACAUAAAAAAGUAUGUGUAACAAAAUUGAAAUUCAUAGAAGAAAAUCAAUGUUUUAGUACAGUGUUAAAUUUAUGGUUUUACUAGCAUAAUAAUUUAUGUGGGUUCAAAUCCCUUCGACAACAUAUUUUAUAUUCUUUUAAAACAAUAAGAAUUAAAAUAACCUUCAAUAAUAUAACUUAAUUUAAGCAUGAAGGGAAAGUAUUUCUAAUUUCCAUAAUAGAGUCGAUGCUUGAUCGACUCGUGUCACCGAAUUAGUUAAGGACUUCAAUAAAAGUUAGUAUAGAUUGUAACAAUAAUGAAAUAUGCAUUAAAAAUCACCACAGAGGUUCAAUGUCCCAUUGAAUUUCUGUACUCUUUUAGACUUUUAAAAUUUGAAUACAUAGUACUUUUAUAUUCAAAGGUCCAAGUGAUAAAUUAAAGUCCAAUUCAUAUCACAUAUUCAGAUUUAAGAGAAAUCAAUAAACACUCUUACCAAUUGAACUUUUAUUUUCUAAAUCAGCCAAGUGGAAGGAUUAAAAUCUUGAAAUUGAAAGGAGAGAGGUUUCAUCUGGAAAUGUUGAAGAGUAAAGGGAUUGGAGGAUAAUUAGAGAUUUUUUUUUGUAAUUUCUGAAAUUAGACGUUUAGAAUGGUCUAAAAAAUGCAAGAAAACCUCAACUGUUUCUAUCCAAAAAAAAGGAAACAAAAUCCAACCAUUUUUUACGCACUUGAAAAACUAGUAGCCAAGUGUGUUUUGUAAAUUUGGAAAUUUUCAUGAAUCCCGGUGUACUAUAAAUAGUGACAUAAUGAUGGUGUUCCAAGCAAAUCAUGCUCGAGUUCAAGUUUUUGGUGCCGUAGCUUGUCUCUCCUGUCCUAUUAGGGUCCUGUUUGCAUCCAACCAGUUGUUUCCAAGAGCUAGGCUUUGAUACUUAAAAUAAGAACCACUAUGGGUAUUUCUAGUUAUAGUUUCUUUCUAGUUUUAUUUGUUGUCAUAAUCCCAACCCUAGAAGCUCAUAUCGCUGAGUAUGACGAGUACUGGACGGCACGAGAAUUGGAAGCCAUUGAGAACCUGGACAAGGCCUAUCACUCCAACCCGGAGGAGGUGGUCCGCCAUUACAAUGACCACUUCUCUAGGACCUAUGCUCGAGUUUUAUAUCACCAAAAGGGUGUUGGCAGAAUCAAAAAAGGGUCCCUGUGAGGUUACCAACCACGUUGACAGUUGCUGGCGAUGUGAUCCUGACUGGGAAAAGAAUAGGAAGAAGUUGGCCAACUGUGCCCCUGGAUUUGCUCGAGGUACUACCGGUGGAAAGGAUGGUGAGUUUUACGUGGUCACUGACCCUAUUGAUAAUGCUGCUGACCCCAAGCCUGGAACUCUAGCGUCAUGCUGUCACCCAAACUGGACCACUUUGGAUCACUUUCAAAGGGUCCAUGACCAUCAAGCUGCAACAGGAGCUCAUUGUUACAAGUGAUAAGACCAUUGAUGCGAGGGGAGCCAAUGUGGAAAUUUGUAAUGGUGCUGGUAUCACUAUCCAAUUUGUGAAGAAUAUCAUUAUCCAUGGCCUUCAAAUCCAUCACAUUAUUCCCGCCAAGGGUGGCAAGAUCAAGGAUGGUGAAAACCACCAUGGGUUACGGGGUGACAGCGACGGAGACGGGGUGUCUAUUUUCGGAUCAACCAAUGUUUGGCUUGACCAUCUUGCCCUUCACCAUUGCGCCGAUGGCCUUAUCGAUGUCGUUCAAGGAUCAACUGCCGUUACCGUUUCUAACUGCCACUUCACUGACCAUAACGAUGUAAGCUUACUUUCCUUUCAAUUUUAAACUACGCACGAUGAGGAAUUUUUUGAUUGACAAAAAUAAUACAAUUGAAAUGAAAAAAAUUACAGGUGAUGUUGUUUGGAGCAAGCGACUCUUACAGUGCCGACAAGAAGAUGCAGGUCACUGUUGCUUUGAACCACUUCGGUAAAGGAUUGGUAGAGAGGAUGCCUAGGUGCCGAUUUGGUUUUAUUCAUGUCGUCAACAAUGACUACAAUCACUGGUUCCUGUAUGCCAUUGGCGGCACCAGCAAUCCUACAAUUAUCAGCCAGGGAAAUAGGUAUUCAGCGCCAGGCUUUGGGGCUAAAGAGGUGACCUGUAGGGGCCUCUUAAAGCCGGGACAGUGGAAGAAUUGGAAUUGGGUAUCACAAGGUGACCACUUCGAGAACGGUGCCUUUUUUACACCAUCAGGUAAUCCAAGUGCCAGCAAGCAAUUUGGCGCCGACAAAAUGAUGCCUUUCAAACCUGGUCAAAUGGUCCCCGAACUCACAAAGUAUGCCGGACCACUAAGCUGCACAAUCGGCCGUCCUUGCUAAAAACUGCUAUUUUUAUAUGCAUAUGUCCUCCCUUUUUUACGUACAAUAUUUGAUACCCAAGCAUAGUACAUUUGGUAUCUUUUCUGAAUGAUUGUCAGUAAAUUUUCUUUUAUGCGAUCCCACCCUAUUCUCUUCUUCUCUCCUAGUAAUAGAUAAUCACAAUUUUUUUCUCACGCGUAACUGUGGAAAUCAUAAAUUUAGAACAUAAAUGUUUGUUUGAAAAUAACAUAUAAUGAAUAAUGAAAUGUGUGGUUUGAAAUAAAGUAACAAUAAUAACAUUGAUUAUCAUGGUGUUUUCAUCAAUCUUUAGUUGGUGUAGGCACCAAAUCAAUCAAAUACAUUAAUCUAACAUAUCUAGUAUAUAUAUUCUAUUGCAAGGUUUUUUUGGAUUUGUGGAAACCUUCAGUUUGAAGUGAGUUUAGAAUUCGCUAUGCGUCACCAAUCAUUUCAUGACAGGAAUGGAAAUUAAUGAAAUAAAAUAUUUGGUUAGAACUAAAGUUGCGUAAUUAAUUAAAAAUUUUAACAAUCGCGAGACCAUUUAGUUUCUAUAAAUUUUGUAUGUCCCAACUUACAUAUUCCGGGUAAUUAGUCAUUUGUCAAAACACAUCAAAGUGAGAAAAGAAAGAAACAAGAAUCAUGAGUCAUUCCUCAUAUAGUAAUAUUCGUAAUAAUGCAAUCGCAACGGUGAUUCCACCAGGUGUUCUUGCAUCACCAAGAACUAAAUUGAUUUUCUAGAACAAGAUUUAUAAUGGAGACAUCAAGUAUGUAUUUAAGGUUGUGUAUGAGUUAGAUUUCUUUAAGACUCAGCGGAGGGUCGGGGAGCCGCCCAAGACAUUGCUUUUACCAGUAUAAAGUCAACUACCGAAGCAAAAAAACUUGCAAAGCUGAGAGGACAUAGGAUUAAUAAUUCAGCACCUAUGUUUUGAGUUGCUCCAUAGUUGACGCAGUGGUAUUAGCUUAGUAAGGGCUUAAAUAAUCGUAUAGAUAUUUAUAAUUGAUGGACAUAAUAAAGUAUGCUUAACAAAUUUGAAAAUCAAAAAAGAAAAUCAAUGUCUUGGUACAGUGUUAAAUUUAUGGUUUUACUAGCAUAAUAAUUGAUUUGGGUUCAAAUCCCUUCGACAACAUAUUUUAUAUUCUUUUAAAACAAUAAGAAUUAAAAUAACCUUCAAUAAUAUAACUUAUUUUAAACAUGAAAGGAAUGUAUUUCUAAUUUCCGUAAUAGAGUCGAUGCUCGAUCGACUCAUGUCACCGAAUUAGUUAAGGACUUCAAUAAAUGUUAGUAUAGAUUGUAACAAUAAUGAAAUAUGCAUUAAAAAUCACCACAGAGGUUCAAUAUACACUCGAAUCUCUGUACUCUUUUAGACUUUUAAAAUUUGAAUACAUAGUACUUUUAUAUUCAAAGGUCCAAGUAAUAAAUUAGAGUCCAAUUCAUAUCACAUAUUCAGAUUUGAGAGAAAUAAAUAAACUCUCUUACCAAUUGAACUUUUAUUUUUUAAAUCAACCAAGUGCAAGGAUUAAAAUCUUGAAAUUGAAAGGAGAGAGGUUUCAUCUGGAAAUGUUGAAGAGUAAAGGGAUUGGAGGAUAAUUAGAGAUUUUUUUUUGUAAUUUCUGAAAUUAGACGUUUAGAAUGGUCUAAAAAAUACAAGAAAACCUCAACUGUUUCUAUCCAAAAAAAGGAAACAAAAUCCAACCAUUUUUUACGCACUUGAAACACUAGUAGCCAAGUGUGUUUUGUAAAUUUGGAAAUUUUCAUGAAUCCCGGUGUACUAUAAAUAGUGACAUAAUGAUGGUGUUCCAAGCAAAUCAUGCUCGAGUUCAAGUUUUUGGUGCCGUAGCUUGUCUCUCCUGUCCUAUUAGGGUCCUGUUUGCAUCCAACCAGUUGUUUCCAAGAGCUAGGCUUUGAUACUUAAAAUAAGAACCACUAUGGGUAUUUCUAGUUAUAGUUUCUUUCUGUUUUUAUUUGUUGUCAUAAUCCCAACCCUAGAAGCUCAUAUCGCUGAGUAUGACGAGUACUGGACGGCACGAGAAUUGGAAGCCAUUGAGAACCUGGACAAGGCCUAUCACUCCAACCCGGAGGAGGUGGUCCGCCAUUACAAUGACCACUUCUCUAGGACCAUGCUCGAGUUUUAUAUCACCAAAAGGGUGUUGGCAGAAUCAAAAAAGGGUCCCUGUGAGGUUACCAACCACGUUGACAGUUGCUGGCGAUGUGAUCCUGACUGGGAAAAGAAUAGGAAGAAGUUGGCCAACUGUGCCCCUGGAUUUGCUCGAGGUACUACCGGUGGAAAGGAUGGUGAGUUUUACGUGGUCACUGACCCUAUUGAUAAUGCUGCUGACCCCAAGCCUGGAACUCUGCGUCAUGCUGUCACCCAAACUGGACCACUUUGGAUCACUUUCAAAGGGUCCAUGACCAUCAAGCUGCAACAGGAGCUCAUUGUUACAAGUGAUAAGACCAUUGAUGCGAGGGGAGCCAAUGUGGAAAUUUGUAAUGGUGCUGGUAUCACUAUCCAAUUUGUGAAGAAUAUCAUUAUCCAUGGCCUUCAAAUCCAUCACAUUAUUCCCGCCAAGGGUGGCAAGAUCAAGGAUGGUGAAAACCACCAUGGGUUACGGGGUGACAGCGACGGAGACGGGGUGUCUAUUUUUGGAUCAACCAAUGUUUGGCUUGACCAUCUUGCCCUUCACCAUUGCGCCGAUGGCCUUAUCGAUGUCGUUCAAGGAUCAACUGCCGUUACCGUUUCUAACUGCCACUUCACUGACCAUAACGAUGUAAGCUUACUUUCCUUUCAAUUUUAAACUACGCACGAUGAGGAAUUUUUUGAUUGACAAAAAUAAUACAAUUGAAAUGAAAAAAAUUACAGGUGAUGUUGUUUGGAGCAAGCGACUCUUACAGUGCCGACAAGAAGAUGCAGGUCACUGUUGCUUUGAACCACUUCGGUAAAGGAUUGGUAGAGAGGAUGCCUAGGUGCCGAUUUGGUUUUAUUCAUGUCGUCAACAAUGACUACAAUCACUGGUUCCUGUAUGCCAUUGGCGGCACCAGCAACCCUACAAUUAUCAGCCAGGGAAAUAGGUAUUCAGCGCCAGGCUUUGGGGCUAAAGAGGUGACCUGUAGGGGCCUCUUAAAGCCGGGACAGUGGAAGAAUUGGAAUUGGGUAUCACAAGGUGACCACUUCGAGAACGGUGCCUUCUUUACACCAUCAGGUAAUCCAAGUGCCAGCAAGCAAUUUGGCGCCGACAAAAUGAUGCCUUUCAAACCUGGUCAAAUGGUCCCCGAGCUCACAAAGUAUGCCGGACCACUAAGCUGCACAAUCGGCCGUCCUUGCUAAAAAUGCUAUUUUUAUAUGCAUUUGUCCUCCCUUUUUUACGUACAAUAUUUGAUACCCAAGCAUAGUACAUUUGGUAUC